Molecule: long non-coding RNA, 620 nt
Organism: Photinus pyralis (common eastern firefly)
Lineage: Eukaryota; Metazoa; Arthropoda; Insecta; Coleoptera; Lampyridae
Exons: 2
Source: RefSeq, a predicted model, not a curated record
UAAUUCAUGUUUAUGUUCGCAUCUAUUGUACUAUGAAAAGCAAAAAGAUGUGAUUAACAAUUAUAGAACAAAACGUUAUCUAGCAUUUAAAAAUGCCCAUACAAUUUUUCCGCUACUUCUCGGAACCAGAAAAGUUACACUCGAGCUUAUAAUUGAACUGACUUCAUUUAAUUACUCUGAAAUCAAGUAAAUCGAAAUGUUCCCAAAUCCUGAAGUGAAACAUUCGCUCUACACAAUACCAUUUUUCAUCUUAACGUAAUUACAACUCGAGUGCAACCUUAUAUUAGUUUAAUUUCGACCAAGCGUGAUGAUCGAUGAACGUAUCGCCAAUACAGCUGCCCACAAAACUAAUGCUGAACUGUAAACAUUAAUGGUGGGUUUAUACGAUCAAUAGCAUAUAACGUUUCUCAUCAAUAUACAAAAUCUUCACUCAGACUAUAGACGGUGCGCUGUGCGGAGAAUCACGUUACUUGCUAAUUGAGGGAGUUUGCUGAUAGGCAUGUAAGGGUCCCGGUCGUAACUGGAAUCAAUUUGUGGCGACAACUACCGUCCUUUGUAGGUAUGUAUUCAAUUUUUUUCAAGUUUGAGUAAACCCCAUUCACGACGAAACGCCAAACAUG